AAGCAUUCUUACAUCAUCACAAGAAGGAUGAGUACAGUACCAUAGGAUAUUUUGAGAGAAAGAGACAGAAAGAGAGAGAGAGAGUGAGAGAGAGAGAGAGAAAGAGAGAUGGAGAGGGAGAGACAGAGACAGACCAUAUUCACAUAAGUUUUAUUACAGCAUAUUGUUCUAAUUGUUAGCUAUUGUUGUUAAUCUCUUGUGUCUAACUUAUAAAUUACAGUUUAUCCUAGGCUAGGGCUUGCUGAGCUUUGAAGAAGACUUCCAGUGCAAGUGGAUUACAUAUUGACCUCACCUGGCCUAGAUCAUUGACCAAUUGGAAUGGUAGGGGGGAUAAUACUUGCUGCCCCAAGCAUGUUUCACCCCCUCUUUGAAUGAGACACUCCAAAAGCCUCAUUCCAAUUGUGCUGGAAAUCUCUCCUCUCACUGCUGCUCACUGUCAUGUACAGGGCAAUGUAAACAAAUUACUCCAUACCCUAAUCAAAGGUUUGAAUAUUCUCUCCACCGUUUUCAACUUAAGCUGGUUUCUCAAAGGAGCCCACAUCCCCUACAGUCUCUGUCACAUGGAGGUUUUUGUCUUUCCUGUCCCUCAGUACAAUAUUACAGAACACUAUGUCAUCUAUAUAUUCUACUGUUGCUAACCCUGUCACCUACCAGACUUCCAAUUAUUUUCCCUCAUUUACUAAGACUUGACACCUGGAUUAUCGUCAUCUUUGCUCUUUGUCCUGACAUCAUCUGAGUGAGUUCAGAUAUCUGGCUGUGAAUGAAUCUUCUAACAUCCUGGCCUUUCACAUUUUUAUCUCCUCAACUCCCCUCUAGCUUAGCAACCCAAUCCCAUGAAAUUGCUUAACCUCUCAAAACCUAUACUCUAGAUCCAAGAGUAUUACUCCUGGACCAAACCUCUAUGCCUUUCAUCUCUUUUACUCCCAUAUCCUCCAACAUCUGUCCUUUCAUCUUUAGUCCCUGAACCACUAUGCAUUCUCUUCACUGGACGCUUUCUUCUGUCCUCUCCUACCCAGCCCAGACCCACAAUCCACCAUUGUAACCACCCUGUCAUCAUUAAUCACAAUUAAUGGUUCUCCCUUCUCAUUCUUCUCAUCAAAACCUCAAGUCUGAGUCAAUAAAAACUUUUGGAUUCUCAGAGAGACAUUAGACAAAAUCAUAUAACUGCAGUUUAUUUUCAUGUAGAUUCAUGAUCCCUUUCCUUAGAGAGGUCCUGAACCCUUCCCCUUAUUCCUACUCACCUCCUAUAUAAUUUCUCUCUGUAGUCUGUCUAAUCUUGGGUUUCAAGUCUCAAAUUCCUCAUUUGCUUUCAAUUCAAUUAAAAUACAUUUAAGCUAAGAAUUUUCUCAACUUAUUUUCUACCCAAAGAACUCUUCCUAUCUCAAUGGUACAGGUUCUUAUAUGUUCAAAUAUUAUUGUGUUAGGUCAUU
Molecule: long non-coding RNA, 1430 nt
Filed under: Homo sapiens (human)
Lineage: Eukaryota; Metazoa; Chordata; Mammalia; Primates; Hominidae
Description: HSALNT0316215
Source: RNAcentral